UCUGGACAAGGACCACUUUUCUAUUACGGAGCUGGAAUUUUAUACUAAAGAAAUAGGGUAUGCAACUGUCGAGGGCUUUUAUUAUCAGAAUAGUGAGACCAAACAAUUUCACUUGGUGGAGUCGGACCUACACCUAUUAGACUUAAUAAAAGACUUAAAGUAUGGAGAUAACUUUGAAAUAUGGGUUAAACAUGUUAUUGACAAUGCUUUACCUGUAGAUGGGGAGGGACCUACUGGCUACCUAACUGGAGAGAAUGAAAAUUUGUUAUUAAAUAACAGAGAUGGUGAGUCAUUUAACCUACAAGAAGUUGUUGUAGAAGAGGCAGUUGAAAGUUUGGGAGGUAAUUGCACUGGUGUGUUAGAUGUAGAAAGUCAUCUUUCAGAGGUGGAGAGUAGUGAUUCAGAUCUGGAAGAUAUACCUGAAGAGGAUGACUCAGAUGUAGAUGAGGAGUUGAGAACUCUUAGACAAGACAAAAGAAAUAAAAAAUAGAAGAAAAAAGCUCAUGUUACAGAAGAGAUUCCUGUUGGAGAGGCUGGUGGUAUAGAUAGAGGGUUUGAGGAUAUUGGGGUAGACAAGGCUAACAAAUAUGCUGGAAAAUUGUGGGGAGAUGAAGAGUAUAUCAGUAGCUCUGAAUGUUGGAGUGAUGAUAGCAGGGAGGAGCUAGAUGCUGUUAGAGGAGUAGAUCUCUACCCUCUAGGAGGAGAAGUAAAAAAGUAAGAUAUGAUGAAGCUUGUGAGGUGGCUGUAUUUGAGCUUGGUAUGGUAUUUGAGAAUGUAACACAGUUUAGAAAGACUGUGGCAGAUUAUGUUGUUGAGUAUAGGAGGCAAAUUAAACUAAGACCUAAUGAGCCUCAUAGGGUAAGGGUUAAGUGUAAAACAAGUACAUGUAAAUGACUGUUGGCUGCUUCUUUGGAUAGAGACUCUGGUGAUUUUAGAGUCAUUAAAUAUCAUCAUGUACAUAAAUGUUUACCUACUAACAAAAAUAAGCUUUGCACUUCUAACCUUAUUACCAGAAAGUUCAAGGAUAGGAUAGUUUCCCAGCCAUAUAUAUAAGGCUUUGGAAAAUUCAAGAGCUGGUUAGAGACAAGUUGGGUCUUUAUGUUGGUAGGACUGUGUGUCAAAGAGCAAAACAUAAAGUUCUGAAGGAAAAUAUGGGUGAUUGGAAGCUGGAAUUCUCAAGGUUAUGUGAUUAUGCAAACAUCAUCAAGCAAACUAAUCCAGGAAGCUCAUGCUGGGUUAAAAUUGAUAGAGAGACUGAUCCUGGGAAGAAUUUGUUUGUAUAUUUCUAUGUAUGCUUUGAAGCCUUCAAGAAAGGAUGGUUAGAUGGGUGUAGGAAAAUCAUAGGAUUUGAUGGUUGUUUUCUUAAGGGAGCUUGUGGAGGUCAACUUCUUGCUGUUGUUGGAAGGAAUGGAAACAAUCAAAUGUUUCCUAUUGCUUGGGCAGUAGUGGAUCAAGAAACAAAACAUAGCUGGAGUUGGUUCUUAGGAUAUUUGAUUGAUAACUUAAAUUUGGGUACUGGUGAAGGUUUGACUGUAAUGUCAGAUAUGCAAAAGGGAAUUGUUCCUGCCAUAAUGGAGUUAUUGCCAAAUGUAGAGCAAAGAAUGUUUGCUAGGCAUAUCUGAAGUAACUGGCAUAUCAAAUGGAGAGGAGAAGCUAGAAGAAAGCAGUUCUUCUAGCUUUGAAGCAUUGAGUAAAUUAGGUAAGAAGGAAAUAUGUGAGGAUUUGUUACAUUAUCCAAAGGAAACAUGGUGUAGGGCAUAUUUUAAAGUUCAUGCCAAAUGUGAUAUUGUUGAGAACAACAUGAGUGAGACUUUCAAUUCUUGGAUUUUAGCUGCUAGGCAUAAGUCUAUUAUCACCAUGUUAGAGGAAAUUAGGCAUAAACUAAUGAACAGACAUGUGGAUAUGAUCAAUUUUGCUAAAGGAUUACAGAUAUUUCUCCUAUGGCAAGAACAAUACUAGAGGAAAAUAAAGAAUACUCUAAGAAGUGUAAAGUUAUGUGGAAUGCACAAGUUGGUUUUGAAAUUCUAGACAAUGGAUAUAGGUUUAGAGUUCAUUUGGGAAACAAGACUUUAAUUGUAGGCUAUGGCAGCUAAGAGGUAUUCGUUGCCCCCAUGCAGUUUAUGCUUAUUAUAAAUUAAACUUAGAUCCUGAUGAGCAUGUAGAGCAUUAGUAUAGGAAUGAUACAUUUUUGAAGGCCUACAGUUACUACUUUCAACCUAUUCCCAAUCUAAAGAUGUGGCCUGAAAGCUCAAAUCCAUCAAUAGAGCCUCUUCUGCCAAAGCCAAUGCCAGGGAGGCCUAAAAAGUGUAGAAGAAAGGCUAAGGAUGAACGAAAAAAGAAGUAUGGAAAGCUAUCAAAGAAGGGUGUCAAAAUGACUUGUUCAAAAUGCAAAUAGACUGGCCACAACAGAAAAGUGUGUCAAACAGGAUCUGGAGUGGGGGAUUCUUCACAGCCCAGAGAAUCAAAUGCCCAACCUAGUCAACCAAGCCAACCAACCUCUGUUUGUGGAGACACUGUAGCUGUUAGAAGAGUUAACCAAAGUAGGGGAGGUGCUGGGAAAGGUAGAAGAGGUGGUGAAAGUGCUGCUCUGCAACUGGAGGAAACAAAAGGCCUAGAACUAUUGGGUUUGGUGUAUACUCUGACCCUCAAACUGGAAAUCAAGUGUUUAAUCCUGGUACCUCAAGUGAGAGUUCUACAAGGAUUCUCAACUAUGAAGAGUGCCUCACCAACCAAUAUUGAUAUUGGUUUUGUUCCACGGGGCCGGAAAUGGAAGGGAAAAGAUGCAAUCACCACCUCAGAAUUGCAACAAAUGAAGGCCAACAAAAGGAAUAAAGUGAAUACUUCAUCAUCAACAACCAAGAAGUAGUUCUAAAAGUGGAUUGUUUUAGUUUUUUGUCUAUGUAAUAUUGAACAAUAUUGAUGUCUAGGGAUGAUGUUAAUUUAGGUCUUUAUGCCGUUGUAUUAAUGCUGGCAAACUUAUGGAGCACUUGUGAUUUUGGUACCAUUUUGUUGGAGUUGCAGCGUUACAUUUGAGCUCAAUUGAGAGCAGUUUAAUAGUAAUCCUUGUUGGUGUA
This is a non-coding RNA of Nicotiana tabacum (common tobacco), 3074 nucleotides long. The record is from RefSeq and is a predicted model, not a curated record. NCBI's taxonomy places the organism in Eukaryota, Viridiplantae, Streptophyta, Magnoliopsida, Solanales, Solanaceae.